Non-coding RNA from Paramuricea clavata, 203 nucleotides. NCBI's taxonomy places the organism in Eukaryota, Metazoa, Cnidaria, Anthozoa, Malacalcyonacea, Plexauridae. The record is from the annotation of a GenBank genome assembly.
AAACUUCAAGCGCGCAAAGCAUUAUGGGAGCACGAUUUCAGCAGUUUACAAAGCAUAUAUAGAACCCAUUUCUUGGAGACAUGAUAAAUAUCUCCCUACAAAAACAUUUCAUUGACAAACAGCUGCAAUAAUCAACUACUAGGCUUGAAUCAGUGAUCCCAUCAUGCUUUGCGCGCUUAGAGUUUAAGGUUUAAGGUUUUAAA